GGGGGAUAAAUUAAUAAAGUAUAAAUAAUAAAAAAAUUUUUAAUAUUAAAAUUAUUUUAAUGGGGGUUAAAGUAUAUUUAAUAGAAAAAAUAAUAAAAAUUUAUAGUAAAUUAGUAUUGUAAAAGAAAUUUGAAAUAUAUUGAAAAUAAAUUUAUUUGAAAGUAAAUUUAAUUUAUUGUAUCUUGUGUAUCAGAGUUUAUUAAUAAUAAUUUUUUUUUAAAAAUUUUCUCGAAUUUAAAAGAGAUAAUUAAUUAUUAAAGUUAAUGUUGCAUAAUUUUUUUUAAUAAUUAAUUUGAAAUGAAAUGUUAAUCGUUUUUAAAUAUAUCUAGUUUUUUUAGAAAAAAAUUUAAUUUUAAAUUUUAAAAAAUAUAAUUUUAAUUAAUUAAAAUUAUAUUUUUAAAAUUAAAUAUUUUAGGGGAUAAGCUUUAAGGUAAAUUUUUAUAAUAAAUUUUAAUAAUAAUUAAAAUUUUUAAAAUUUAUAUUGUUUAUAAAUUAUAAUUUUUUAUAAAUAAUUUUAAUUUAAUUAAAAUUUAAAAUUUAUUUAAUUUUUUUUUAUAAAAAAAUAUAUUAUAAUUAUUUAAAUUUAGAUAUAAUGAUAAAAUUAGUAUAUAAUUUAAAAUAAAAAUAAUUUAUUUUUUGAUAAAUUAAAAAAAGGAAUUCGGCAAAAAUUUAUAUUCACUUGUUUAUCAAAAACAUGUCUUUUUGAUUAAUAAUUUAAAGUCUAAUCUGCCCACUGAUAAUAUAUUAAAGGGCUGCAGUAUUUUGACUGUACAAAGGUAGCAUAAUCAUUAGUCUCUUAAUUGGUGACUUGUAUGAAAGAUUUAAUGAGAUAUAUACUGUCUCUUUUUAAUUUGUAAAAUUUAAUUUUUUAGUAAAAAAGCUAAAAUAUAUUUAAAAGACGAGAAGACCCUAUAGAGUUUUAUAUUUAAUUAAAAUAAAAUUUUUUAUAAGAUUUAAAAUUUUAUUUUAAUUAAAUAUUUUGUUGGGGUGACAAAAAAAUUAAAAGAACUUUUUUUAUAAAUUUUACAUUAAUAAAUGAAUAAAUGAUCCGUAAUUUACGAUUAAAAGAAAAAAUUACCUUAGGGAUAACAGCGUAAUUUUUUUUUUUAGUUCAAAUAAGAAGAAAAGUUUGCGACCUCGAUGUUGGAUUAAGAUAAAAUUUAAAUGCAAAAGUUUAAAAUUUUUGAUCUGUUCGAUCAUUAAAAUCUUACAUGAUCUGAGUUCAAACCGGUGUAAGCCAGGUUGGUUUCUAUCUUUAAAUUAAUAAAAUAUUUUAGUACGAAAGGAAUAAAUAUUUAAAAUAAUUUUAAAUAAAAAGAAUUUUAAUAAUAGUAUUUAAUAUAAUAUAUUUAUAAUAUAUAUGUAUAUAUAAAUA
This 1375-nucleotide ribosomal RNA is filed under the name Parnassius imperator. RNAcentral's name for it is "16S ribosomal RNA". The stretch from base 1085 to 1244 matches the Rfam family "Eukaryotic large subunit ribosomal RNA", at positions 2825 to 2984 of the family's 3401-position model. The record is from RNAcentral. Lineage: Eukaryota; Metazoa; Arthropoda; Insecta; Lepidoptera; Papilionidae.